GACGAACCGUGCUAACGUUGUUCGGAAUCACUGGGCUUAAAGGGCGCGUAGGCGGCUUGCCAAGUCAGGGGUGAAAUCUUUCGGCUUAACCGGAAAAGUGCCUUUGAUACUGGCGAGCUAGAGUGAGGUAGGGGUAUGUGGAACUUCCGGUGGAGCGGUGAAAUGUUUUGAUAUCGGAAGGAACGCCGGUGGCGAAAGCGACGUACUGGACCUCUUCUGACGCUGAGGCGCGAAAGCUAGGGGAGCAAACGGG
RNAcentral lists this ribosomal RNA (253 nucleotides) under uncultured bacterium. RNAcentral describes it as "partial 16S ribosomal RNA". It matches the Rfam family "Bacterial small subunit ribosomal RNA", at positions 524 to 776 of the family's 1533-position model. RNAcentral also lists the same sequence under 1 other name. The record is from RNAcentral.